Molecule: ribosomal RNA, 496 nt
Filed under: uncultured bacterium
Lineage: Bacteria
Description: partial 16S ribosomal RNA
Rfam family: Bacterial small subunit ribosomal RNA
Source: RNAcentral
GAUGAACGCUGGCGGCGUGCCUAAUACAUGCAAGUCGAGCGAACAGAUGAGGAGCUUGCUCCUCUGACGUUAGCGGCGGACGGGUGAGUAACACGUGGAUAACCUACCUAUAAGACUGGGAUAACUUCGGGAAACCGGAGCUAAUACCGGAUAAUAUAUUGAACCGCAUGGUUCAAUAGUGAAAGACGGUUUUGCUGUCACUUAUAGAUGGAUCCGCGCCGCAUUAGCUAGUUGGUAAGGUAACGGCUUACCAAGGCAACGAUGCGUAGCCGACCUGAGAGGGUGAUCGGCCACACUGGAACUGAGACACGGUCCAGACUCCUACGGGAGGCAGCAGUAGGGAUCUUCCGCAAUGGGCGAAAGCCUGACGGAGCAACGCCGCGUGAGUGAUGAAGGUCUUCGGAUCGUAAAACUCUGUUAUUAGGGAAGAACAAAUGUGUAAGUAACUAUGCACGUCUUGACGGUACCUAAUCAGAAAGCCACGGCUAACUACGUG